UACAGAGGGGGCAAGCGUUAUUCGGAAUUAUUGGGCGUAAAGGGCUCGUAGGCGGCCAACUAAGUCAGACGUGAAAUCCCUCGGCUUAACCGGGGAACUGCGUCUGAUACUGGAUGGCUUGAGUUUGGAAGAGGGAUGCGGAAUUCCAGGUGUAGCGGUGAAAUGCGUAGAUAUCUGGAGGAACCCCGGUGGCGAAGGCGGCAUCCUGGACCAACACUGACGCUGAGUGAGCGAAAGCGUGGGGAGCAAACAGG
This 254-nucleotide ribosomal RNA is filed under the name uncultured bacterium. RNAcentral's name for it is "partial 16S ribosomal RNA". It matches the Rfam family "Bacterial small subunit ribosomal RNA", at positions 524 to 776 of the family's 1533-position model. The record is from RNAcentral.